CAAAAGCGUAUAUUAAAGUUGUUGCAGUUAAAAAGCUCGUAGUUGAACCUUUGGCUUGGCUGGCCGGUCCAUCUUUUUUGAUGCGUACUGGACCCAGCCGAGCCUUUCCUUCUGGCUAGCCUUUUGGCGAACCAGGACUUUUACUUUGAAAAAAUUAGAGUGUUCAAAGCAGGCCUUUGCUCGAAUAUAUUAGCAUGGAAUAAUAGAAUAGGACGUUAUGGUUCUAUUUUGUUGGUUUCUAGGACCAUCGUAAUGAUUAAUAGGGACGGUCGGGGGUAUCAGUAUUCAGUUGUCAGAGGUGAAAUUCUUGGAUUUACUGAAGACUAACUACUGCGAAAGCAUUUACCAAGGACGUUUUCAUUAA
RNAcentral lists this ribosomal RNA (364 nucleotides) under uncultured eukaryote. Its description in RNAcentral is "partial 18S ribosomal RNA". It matches the Rfam family "Eukaryotic small subunit ribosomal RNA", at positions 592 to 976 of the family's 1831-position model. The record is from RNAcentral.